UGAGGGAUCGCAUGUUUGGGAAGAAUUCGUUUCUUGCAACCGCUGCAAAUCAGUUUGUUUUGAAACGUCGGGGAGCGAGGACGAGUCUGCUCGGUCUUCGAAGAAAUUCGUUCGACGCGUUCAAGAUUGAAGUCAUUUAAGUGGUCCUGAUCACCGGCAGGCUGGACACAACGACUGAGGGACGGAGACAACGAACUUUGUGCUUCAUGCACGAACGUUGAUGCGUGAAUUAGAGGAGCCGAGAGUGCAUUUUACACCUGGAUUACACAAGCAAGUUACGUCAAGCGAUGUCGUAAAUGGGUGAGUCAAUCGUCUACUGUGGUUGGUGUUACGUUCUGCGGAAGAAACGGAAGUUGGGGAAGAACAGCUAUCCAAAGGUGUGGAAGAGAUAAAGAAGCGUGACCACAGAGCAGCUGCAGUGGUGAAGGAGAGACGCAGUGGUCAUCGUUCAUCCAUAUACGUUGUGCCCCGUGUGUUCGGCGUUUGUGCAUCA
Long non-coding RNA from Ornithodoros turicata, 493 nucleotides. RefSeq lists it as uncharacterized. The transcript is spliced from 3 exons. The record is from RefSeq and is a predicted model, not a curated record. NCBI's taxonomy places the organism in Eukaryota, Metazoa, Arthropoda, Arachnida, Ixodida, Argasidae.